Molecule: ribosomal RNA, 681 nt
Filed under: bacterium
Lineage: Bacteria
Description: bacterial SSU rRNA
Rfam family: Bacterial small subunit ribosomal RNA
Source: RNAcentral
CUGCCCUCCACAUCGGGAUAACCCCCGGAAACGGGAGCUAAUACCGGAUACGACCACUUCAGGCAUCUGAUGGUGGUGGAAAGUUCCGGCGGUGGAGGAUGAGCUCGCGGCCUAUCAGCUUGUUGGUGGGGUAACGGCCCACCAAGGCUUCGACGGGUAGCCGGCCUGAGAGGGUGACCGGCCACACUGGGACUGAGACACGGCCCAGACUCCUACGGGAGGCAGCAGUGGGGAAUAUUGGACAAUGGGCGAAAGCCUGAUCCAGCAACGCCGCGUGAGGGAUGACGGCCUUCGGGUUGUAAACCUCUUUCAGCGCAGACGAAGCGAAAGUGACGGUAUGCGCAGAAGAAGCACCGGCCAACUACGUGCCAGCAGCCGCGGUAAUACGUAGGGUGCGAGCGUUGUCCGGAAUUAUUGGGCGUAAAGGGCUCGUAGGCGGUCUGUCACGUCAGGAGUGAAAACUCGGGGCUCAACCCCGAGCCUGCUUCUGAUACGGGCAGACUGGAGGUAUGCAGGGGAGAACGGAAUUCCUGGUGUAGCGGUGAAAUGCGCAGAUAUCAGGAGGAACACCGGUGGCGAAGGCGGUUCUCUGGGCAUUACCUGACGCUGAGGAGCGAAAGUGUGGGGAGCGAACAGGAUUAGAUACCCUGGUAGUCCACACCGUAAACGUUGGGCGCUAGG